Oryza sativa Japonica Group (Japanese rice) is the source of this 193-nucleotide microRNA precursor. It matches the Rfam family "MIR812 microRNA precursor family". Lineage: Eukaryota; Viridiplantae; Streptophyta; Magnoliopsida; Poales; Poaceae. The record is from Rfam.
AAUAAAUGCAGUUUCAUACAGUUCAUGUCCAACUUUUAACCGUUCAUCUUGUUUGAAAUUUUUUUAUGAUUAAGAUUUUUAUUGUUAUUAGAUGAUAAAAUAUGAAUAAUAUUUUAUGUGUGACUAAUUUCUUUUAUAUUUUCAUAAUUUUUUUAAAUAAGAGAGACGGUCAAACGUUGAACACGGAUGUCCA